Molecule: non-coding RNA, 309 nt
Organism: Beta vulgaris subsp. vulgaris (sugar beet)
Lineage: Eukaryota; Viridiplantae; Streptophyta; Magnoliopsida; Caryophyllales; Amaranthaceae
Rfam family: Plant signal recognition particle RNA
Source: Rfam
GUCGAGCUCGGUAGCGUGAGCUUGUGACCCAAGUGGGGACAAUAAGAUGGUGGAAUACGGAUCAAGUGAACUGGGUCGGGUCUUGGGCUUGGCUUUAUGCUGGCCUGCCCUGUCCAAGUUGGGAGUUGAUCCAUGGGCCUUGGGCGAAGGCCUGAGUUUCUUGGGUUCUAGAGUGGAGGGCACUGCGUGAGGCUGGUUUCACAGAGCAACGACAACCUCCCGCUCCUGUCAGUGGACGGAUAACGGGCCGGUGCCUACCGGAUCCAUUAGUGCCCAGUUGACUUAGAUCUCCAUUGGACCACCAUUUUU